UGCCAUAGGAUUGUUGUGAGAUUUAAGUG
This 29-nucleotide non-coding RNA is filed under the name Homo sapiens (human). The record is from RNAcentral. Lineage: Eukaryota; Metazoa; Chordata; Mammalia; Primates; Hominidae.